This 385-nucleotide ribosomal RNA is filed under the name uncultured Methanosaeta sp. Its description in RNAcentral is "bacterial SSU rRNA". It matches the Rfam family "Archaeal small subunit ribosomal RNA", at positions 954 to 1338 of the family's 1478-position model. Lineage: Archaea; Methanobacteriati; Methanobacteriota; Methanomicrobia; Methanotrichales; Methanotrichaceae. The record is from RNAcentral.
CCAGGCUGAAGACUUUGCCGGAUUAGCUGAGAGGUGGUGCAUGGCCGUCGUCAGUUCGUACUGUGAAGCAUCCUGUUAAGUCAGACAACGAGCCAGACCCACGCCCACAGUUGCCAGCGUACUCUCUGGAGUGACGGGUACACUGUGGGGACCGCCGCUGCUAAAGCGGAGGAAGGAAUGGGCAACGGUAGGUCAGUAUGCCCCGAAUAUCCCGGGCUACACGCGAGCUACAAUGGUUGGUACAAUGGGUAUCUACCCCGAAAGGGGACGGGAAUCUCCUAAAACCAAUCUUAGUUCGGAUUGAGGGCUGCAACUCGCCCUCAUGAAGCUGGAAUCCGUAGUAAUCGCGUUUCAACAGAACGCGGUGAAUACGUCCCUGCUCCUU